This 467-nucleotide ribosomal RNA is filed under the name uncultured Borrelia sp. RNAcentral describes it as "bacterial SSU rRNA". It matches the Rfam family "Bacterial small subunit ribosomal RNA", at positions 90 to 545 of the family's 1533-position model. Lineage: Bacteria; Pseudomonadati; Spirochaetota; Spirochaetia; Spirochaetales; Borreliaceae. The record is from RNAcentral.
AUUCAGUGGCGUACGCCUGACUACCAUCGGACGUUGCUAGUAUGUGACGGUGACACUAUUAGAAAGAGUAGCUAAUACCGAAUAAGGUCAGUUAAUUGUGUGAGGAAAAGAAAGGAAGCCUUUAAAGCUUCGCUUGUAGAUGAGUCGGGGUCUUAUUAGCUAGUUGGUAGGGUAAAUGCCUACCAAGGCAAUGAUAAGUAACCGGCCUGAGAGGGUGAACGGUCACACUGGAACUGAGAUACGGUCCAGACUCCUACGGGAGGCAGCAGCUAAGAAUCUUCCGCAAUGGGCGAAAGCCUGACGGAGCGACACUGCGUGAAUGAAGAAGGUCGAAAGAUUGUAAAAUUCUUUUAUAAAUGAGGAAUAAGCUUUGUAGGAAAUGACAAAGUGAUGACGUUAAUUUAUGAAUAAGCCCCGGCUAAUUACGUGCCAGCAGCCGCGGUAAUACGUAAGGGGCGAGCGUUGUU